RNAcentral lists this long non-coding RNA (247 nucleotides) under Physcomitrium patens. RNAcentral's name for it is "long non-coding RNA (PPAT_LNC004217)". Lineage: Eukaryota; Viridiplantae; Streptophyta; Bryopsida; Funariales; Funariaceae. The record is from RNAcentral.
GAACAGAGGUGGGCGGGCCCAGCCACGCCCUGAUGGGUAGAUUAAUAGAAAUAUAUACGUUCAUAUACAUAUUCAUAAAUAAAUAUAUACAGAAAUGAGAAGAAAAAUGAAGAGAGAAUGAGAGCAGGGAUGAUACUGGAGGGGAGGGUGAGGAAUUAGGGGAAGCAAGGAGGGGGAUGUAAUACUGUAGAGAGAGGGAGAGAGAGACUUUGUGAGUGAGUGAGUGUGAAGUUGUGGGUGUAUCCUG